This 320-nucleotide ribosomal RNA is filed under the name uncultured eukaryote. Its description in RNAcentral is "partial 18S ribosomal RNA". It matches the Rfam family "Eukaryotic small subunit ribosomal RNA", at positions 1470 to 1796 of the family's 1831-position model. The record is from RNAcentral.
CCCCUAGAUGUUCUGGGCCGCACGCGCGCUACACUGAACAGUUCAACAAGUCUUAACCUUGGCCGAUAGGUCUGGGUAAUCUUUGAACGCUGUUCGUGAUUGGGAUAGACCUUUGCAAUUAUGGGUCUUCAACGAGGAAUUCCUAGUAAACGCAAGUCAUCAGCUUGCAUUGAUUACGUCCCUGCCCUUUGUACACACCGCCCGUCGCACCUACCAAUUGAAUGGUCCGGUGAAAUCUCGGGACGGCGGCUUGGUCGCUUGCGUCCGACUGCUGAAACUUGAUUAAACCAUNUNAUUUAUNGGAAGGUGAANUCGUANCA